RNAcentral lists this ribosomal RNA (849 nucleotides) under Staphylococcus aureus. Its description in RNAcentral is "bacterial SSU rRNA". It matches the Rfam family "Bacterial small subunit ribosomal RNA", at positions 79 to 913 of the family's 1533-position model. The record is from RNAcentral. Lineage: Bacteria; Bacillati; Bacillota; Bacilli; Caryophanales; Staphylococcaceae.
UGCUUCUCUGAUGUUAGCGGCGGACGGGUGAGUAACACGUGGAUAACCUACCUAUAAGACUGGGAUAACUUCGGGAAACCGGAGCUAAUACCGGAUAAUAUUUUGAACCGCAUGGUUCAAAAGUGAAAGACGGUCUUGCUGUCACUUAUAGAUGGAUCCGCGCUGCAUUAGCUAGUUGGUAAGGUAACGGCUUACCAAGGCAACGAUGCAUAGCCGACCUGAGAGGGUGAUCGGCCACACUGGAACUGAGACACGGUCCAGACUCCUACGGGAGGCAGCAGUAGGGAAUCUUCCGCAAUGGGCGAAAGCCUGACGGAGCAACGCCGCGUGAGUGAUGAAGGUCUUCGGAUCGUAAAACUCUGUUAUUAGGGAAGAACAUAUGUGUAAGUAACUGUGCACAUCUUGACGGUACCUAAUCAGAAAGCCACGGCUAACUACGUGCCAGCAGCCGCGGUAAUACGUAGGUGGCAAGCGUUAUCCGGAAUUAUUGGGCGUAAAGCGCGCGUAGGCGGUUUUUUAAGUCUGAUGUGAAAGCCCACGGCUCAACCGUGGAGGGUCAUUGGAAACUGGAAAACUUGAGUGCAGAAGAGGAAAGUGGAAUUCCAUGUGUAGCGGUGAAAUGCGCAGAGAUAUGGAGGAACACCAGUGGCGAAGGCGACUUUCUGGUCUGUAACUGACGCUGAUGUGCGAAAGCGUGGGGAUCAAACAGGAUUAGAUACCCUGGUAGUCCACGCCGUAAACGAUGAGUGCUAAGUGUUAGGGGGGUUUCCGCCCCUUAGUGCUGCAGCUAACGCAUUAAGCACUCCGCCUGGGGAGUACGACCGCAAGGUUGAAACUCAAAGGAAUUGA